This is a small nucleolar RNA of Ailuropoda melanoleuca (giant panda), 140 nucleotides long. NCBI's taxonomy places the organism in Eukaryota, Metazoa, Chordata, Mammalia, Carnivora, Ursidae. The record is from Ensembl.
GACCUCCCAGGAUCGCGUCUGGAGAGUGGUUAGUAUUCUGCCAGCUUCGGAGACGGGAGGGAGAGCAAGCCUGGCAGAGGUACCCAUUCCAUUCCCAGUUUGCUCAGUAGCUGGUGAUUGGAAGACACUCUGCAACAAUG